Molecule: ribosomal RNA, 107 nt
Filed under: Castor canadensis (American beaver)
Lineage: Eukaryota; Metazoa; Chordata; Mammalia; Rodentia; Castoridae
Source: RNAcentral
GUCUAUGACUAUACCAACCUAAACACAUCUGAUCUGGGAAGCUAAGCAGGGUUGGGCCUGGUUAGCACUUGGAAUGGGAGAAUGAAUGGAUGGCCUAGGGGUAGGUU